UGGGGUCCCUGAUGUCAACUUCGGGGCCCUUGAGGUCGCCUUCCACUUUGGGCAGAGAAAUGUCCAUGUCGCCCUUCACCUUUGGACCUUUCAGAUUCAGGUCAACUUCAGGCAUAGAGAUCUUCGGUGCCUUGAGGUGCAGGUCAGGCAUUUUAAAUUUGGGGCCCUUCAGUUUCCCUUCUGGACCAUGAAUAUCAAUAUCAGGAGUGUCAAUGUCCACUUUGGGUCCUGAGACAUCAAUGUCAGCCUUGGGCAGGUUCACAUCCACAUCUGGGCCCUCUCCUUUGAAGCCAGGCAUGCUGAACUUGGGCAUUUUCACCUUGGGCAUCUUCAGGUGCCAGUCUGGGCCAUGAACCUCCACAUCUGGUGCAUUAAUAUCAACUUUGGGGCCUUUGAUGUCAACAUCAGGAGCUUUUAUCUCUCCUUCUACU
RNAcentral lists this long non-coding RNA (431 nucleotides) under Homo sapiens (human). RNAcentral's name for it is "HSALNT0176087". The record is from RNAcentral. Lineage: Eukaryota; Metazoa; Chordata; Mammalia; Primates; Hominidae.